This 1372-nucleotide ribosomal RNA is filed under the name uncultured bacterium. RNAcentral describes it as "bacterial SSU rRNA". It matches the Rfam family "Bacterial small subunit ribosomal RNA", at positions 28 to 1381 of the family's 1533-position model. The record is from RNAcentral.
GAUGAACGCUGGUUGCGUGCCUAAUACAUGCAAGUCGAGCGAACAGACGAGGAGCUUGCUCCUUUGACGUUAGCGGCGGACGGGUGAGUAACACGUGGGUAACCUACCUAUAAGACUGGGAUAACUUCGGGAAACCGGAGCUAAUACCGGAUAAUAUUUCGAACCGCAUGGUUCGAUAGUGAAAGAUGGCUUUGCUAUCACUUAUAGAUGGACCUGCGCCGUAUUAGCUAGUUGGUAAGGUAACGGCUUACCAAGGCAACGAUACGUAGCCGACCUGAGAGGGUGAUCGGCCACACUGGAACUGAGACACGGUCCAGACUCCUACGGGAGGCAGCAGUAGGGAAUCUUCCGCAAUGGGCGAAAGCCUGACGGAGCAACGCCGCGUGAGUGAUGAAGGUCUUCGGAUCGUAAAACUCUGUUAUUAGGGAAGAACAAACGUGUAAGUAACUGUGCACGUCUUGACGGUACCUAAUCAGAAAGCCACGGCUAACUACGUGCCAGCAGCCGCGGUAAUACGUAGGUGGCAAGCGUUAUCCGGAAUUAUUGGGCGUAAAGCGCGCGUAGGCGGUUUUUUAAGUCUGAUGUGAAAGCCCACGGCUCAACCGUGGAGGGUCAUUGGAAACUGGAAAACUUGAGUGCAGAAGAGGAAAGUGGAAUUCCAUGUGUAGCGGUGAAAUGCGCAGAGAUAUGGAGGAACACCAGUGGCGAAGGCGACUUUCUGGUCUGUAACUGACGCUGAUGUGCGAAAGCGUGGGGAUCAAACAGGAUUAGAUACCCUGGUAGUCCACGCCGUAAACGAUGAGUGCUAAGUGUUAGGGGGUUUCCGCCCCUUAGUGCUGCAGCUAACGCAUUAAGCACUCCGCCUGGGGAGUACGACCGCAAGGUUGAAACUCAAAGGAAUUGACGGGGACCCGCACAAGCGGUGGAGCAUGUGGUUUAAUUCGAAGCAACGCGAAGAACCUUACCAAAUCUUGACAUCCUUUGACCCUUCUAGAGAUAGAAGUUUCCCCUUCGGGGGACAAAGUGACAGGUGGUGCAUGGUUGUCGUCAGCUCGUGUCGUGAGGUGUUGGGUUAAGUCCCGCAACGAGCGCAACCCUUAAGCUUAGUUGCCAUCAUUAAGUUGGGCACUCUAAGUUGACUGCCGGUGACAAACCGGAAGAAGGUGGGGAUGACGUCAAAUCAUCAUGCCCCUUAUGAUUUGGGCUACACACGUGCUACAAUGGACAAUACAAAGGGCAGCGAAACCGCGAGGUCAAGCAAAUCCCAUAAAGUUGUUCUCAGUUCGGAUUGUAGUCUGCAACUCGACUACAUGAAGCUGGAAUCGCUAGUAAUCGUAGAUCAGCAUGCUACGGUGAAUACGUUCCCGGGUCU